AACAGAAAGGAUUGGAAAAUAAUCGAUGCCAACGCAGAGGCUCUUGUUCUCGUAUGAGCCAUAGUUGUCUAUUGACUGAAGGUGGUGGAGAUAAUUCAACAAGAUGAUUUACAAUGUAAUUCAAGAGAUCUGUCUAGUCUGUUGGACUGUUAAGGCACCACACAAGAUUUGUCGACCAUUCUUUUCCUCACCGUCUUUUGAAUGACUAAUUCCUGAGAAUAGUAAACCGUUAUUGUUAAAGAAUAUACAGCCAAGAUCUUGCAGCAGACAGUAGAAAAUGGCAGUUUGAACUUCAGAUCAUUGUGUCAACCAUCUCGUGCAAUCCACAAAACCAGGCAGUGUAAUCAAGAUCUACCUAAGAAUGAAAAAUACUAUCAGAUACAAUUUCACAUUACAUCUAGAAAAGGAUAGCUAUAUUUAACUUGAUCUAGUAGAAGAUGUACAACUAUCAUACCCAUAUAAUGUAGAUUAACAAACUGAUUCAAGAUAAAUACUAUUAUCUUCUUAUCUUAUAUAAU
Long non-coding RNA from Biomphalaria glabrata, 518 nucleotides. RefSeq lists it as uncharacterized. The transcript has 3 exons. The record is from RefSeq and is a predicted model, not a curated record. NCBI's taxonomy places the organism in Eukaryota, Metazoa, Mollusca, Gastropoda, Planorbidae.